RNAcentral lists this ribosomal RNA (253 nucleotides) under uncultured bacterium. Its description in RNAcentral is "partial 16S ribosomal RNA". It matches the Rfam family "Bacterial small subunit ribosomal RNA", at positions 524 to 776 of the family's 1533-position model. The record is from RNAcentral.
UACGUAGGGGGCAAGCGUUGUCCGGAAUCAUUGGGCGUAAAGAGCGCGUAGGCGGUCCGGUAAGUCCGCUCUGAAAGUCCGGGGCUCAACCCCGGGAGGCGGGCGGAUACUGUCGGGCUAGAGUCCGGAAGAGGCGAGUGGAAUUCCUGGUGUAGCGGUGAAAUGCGCAGAUAUCAGGAGGAACACCAAUGGCGAAGGCGACUUACUGGACACAUAUUGACGCUGAGGUGCGAAAGCGUGGGGAGCAAACAGG